RNAcentral lists this long non-coding RNA (13747 nucleotides) under Vitis vinifera (wine grape). RNAcentral's name for it is "long non-coding RNA (VVIN_LNC003400)". The stretch from base 1306 to 1400 matches the Rfam family "Small nucleolar RNA Z43". Lineage: Eukaryota; Viridiplantae; Streptophyta; Magnoliopsida; Vitales; Vitaceae. The record is from RNAcentral.
GUAAAGUGAAAUCAAGCACUCGAAGGGCACACUGGUAAUUAAAUAAGCCUUUUGAAAAAUGUAGAGUCGGUCAUCCCAUAUGAGCAAUGCGCCCCCGGCGCAUUUUAGUAGAGCUUUUCCCCCCAAAACCCUAUUAUGCUCUGAAACCCUAGCUCUCACGCGCAUCUCUAUAAAUACAAGCCAAUCAGUUCGAGCGUCACCGCCUCAUGUAAAUAUUGGACUACUAGGGCUUAUGAUCCGUUUCAUACUACGAUCUCGAUUCAAGAACAAGAGGCGUUCCAAGAACUUCUUUAAGAAUUUCCUCUCUUCAUUUAUGUUUCUUUCUCACAAAGCUCUUCACUUGGUUUGUUUUCUCAGUUGAAAUGUUUGAUCUUGGUUUUUUCUUGGUUUUUUUUCUUCUUUUUUUGUUUUUUUGUGCUUUGAUUUGAUCUGAUUUUAUGAGUUUGAGAAGAUGGUUAAGGACUGUGACGAUUCGUGUGAAAGGUCUCGUUCGUCGUAAGGGCGAGUAGCUCGCCUUGCCGACUAUUCUGAUAUAUCACCACCCAUAUUCUGAGUCCUAUCUACGAUCUACAAAAUUCUCUUUGCUUUUUUCCGGAUUUCAUUUUCCGCAUGUUUGCGUCUGUUUUUGGUGCUUUGAAUUGGCCAAUGAUUAUAAUUUUAUAUUAAGACAAGCAUAUGUCUGAAACAACUGUGUGGAACAUCUAAUCUUCUCUAUGAGGCCAAUUUGUAAAUUUUUUUCUUUUUCGAUCGAUCUGAUCUGUUUUCAUUGUAUAAGUGCUGAUGAUGAAACAAAGGAUACUUUGUAAUGUAUGAGAAAUCAUGAUUACAACUAUACCUCUACUGCCUUCCUUCUGAAGCUUCUUAUAAUCCUGCUUUUGUAAAAUAAUCAUGUUUUGUUUUGUGUCUGAUUGUUUUUAAAAUUGAAUCUGAUUGAUUUCGAAAUGAAUUUGGAUGGUUUGAACCCUAGAUGUGUUCAAACAUUAGGAAUGCACAAAAUGAAAUUGUAGUUCUUGAUUGAUUCCAUUUGAGGCAGCAAAACACCUCAAUGAUAUGGAUUUGGCUGGUUUAUUGAUUAUUAGUGUGAGGGAUCUCAAAUGAUGAACAGAAGCAUAGUUCAAAUGAUAAUCUUUGUGAUUAGAAAUUGAAUGUCUUUCGCUCCUAUCUGAUGAUCCUCAUAUUAUCUCUUCCUUGUUGGGUUGUAAUUCCUGUAUGCUUUUGAGUGAUUGUUUUUCAAUAUUCGAUUUCAAAUUUGGUAUUUUUUUUGAAUUGGAUACGAUACAAGUUUGUCAGGUUGUAGAAGGUUAGGGACUGUGACGAGUUGUGUGAAAGGUCUCGUUCGUCGUAAUGGCAAAUUUGCCUUGCCGACCAUCCUGAUAUAUCACCACCCAUAUUCCGAGUCCUGUCUAGAAAAAUAAAAUUUCGAAGUAAUCUCAAAUUUUUUUUUGUAUUGCCUAUGAUUAUGAAUUUUAUAUAUAGAGGCCAAGCAUACGUCUGAAACAUUUGGUGUUGACAAACUAAUCUUAUGAGGCCUAUUUAGUACUUCUGGUUUUUUCUUGGGUUUUUUUUUUCUUUUUCUUGUGAUUUUUACUAUGCUUGUCUUUUCUAUCCUAUUUGAUCUCAUGAUGUUCUCUGCGUCUGCACCAGUGCAGUUAGAAUCUGUUUGAUGACUUACGAAACUGGUGUGAGACGUUACAGAACUAAAGGAGGGCUCUUGACUUUCUUUAGGCAAUAAAAUCCAGAUUUCAGUAAUCUUUUGCUGGCAUUUUUCCUCUUCGUAUGCAUUUUACUAUUUUCUUUGACUUUCAACCAUCUUCUUGAUUUUCUUGAUUUCACAUAAGCAUGAGCAAACUUCAUGAUUCCAAACAAUGGAAUUCAUAGAAUCAACUCAUGCAAAAUCAAUCAAGGAAAUUGUAGUUCUGAAGCUGGGAAUUUGAGAUAGCAACUCUUUUGCGUUUUGCCAUUAUCAUUUGGAACCGAAUCAUAGCAGAUGCUGGUAUUGGGGUAACCAAUGAGCUCACUGUCUAUCUUGCUCAGGAUGGUGCCUCAUGAUUCUUAAAAGUCUUUAAAGACAAUAAGAAUUCGAGGGUUGAUAAUGUACUGGUCAACUGGGUUUUGGCUUAUUUCCACUGAGGGCGGCAGUGGAGAGAUUCCUGUUGAGUUUUGGGUAGCAAAUAUGAAUUAAAUUCAAAUUUAACCAAAAUCAGAAAAAAAAAAAUAUUUUAUAUGAAAGUUUGCGACUUCAAUAACAAAACUGAAAUGUAUUGAAAAGAAAGAAAUCAAGAAGAAUGAUUAUUAUGUUUGAUCGGAGGAUGAUGCCCAUACACAAGUUCUGUGAUUGGUUAGGCAUGAGAAGGCUCUUUAAAUACUUAAUCUAUGAGACGUCCUUUUUUGGGUGCAUAUUAGUUUUUAUUGAAUGCCUUGAUUUUUAGUGAAGAAUGAUUAUUAUGUUUGAUCGGAGGAUGAUGCCCAUACACAAGUUCUGUGAUUGGUUAGGCAUGAGAAGGCUCUUUAAAUACUUAAUCUAUGAGACGUCCUUUUUUGGGUGCAUAUUAAUUUUUAUUGAAUGCCUUAAUACUUUUAGUGUCAUCAGUUGGAGAUUGGAAGAAUAUAUUAUUAACAGAGCAGCCUAAGAUGUGGGGUAGUGACAUGAGGGUUAGAAGUAUUCGCUGAAGGGGUGUUGUUACUGUCGAAGAAUGGUAUUCUAUCAUCCCAUGGAAGAGGUCAUUUCAUCUUAGAUAUGGCACAAGGUACCUCAGACUAAAUAAUCUUACUGUUGAAGCGGCUCUCUCUUCUGUUAGUCUGAUGCUGUAAACCUUGGAGUUUUUUUUUGUUGUGGAAAUGAAGGCCAAAAGAAGGGGAAUGUGAGAGCGUCUUCGAGUCUCAUUACUUUGAUGGUGUAGUGGCAAUGAUAUCAACUUCAGAAGGGAUUAAUGAUGUGAUCCUCUCCUUUGUCUAUAAUGGUCACAUAGCAGGCACAUAGCUGCAGAAUGCCUAGUUUUCCAUAAGGAUGGGGUGGUUGUUUGACUGGGAACGACAAUGUAAGAAGGAAAUUCCCUCAGUCAUUUUUUUUUAGCUCCGCGAGGUAAUGGUUACCUGAAAAGUGGCUUAUGUCCUAGCUACUGAUUGCACAGCAAUACAAUGGAGUUAAACUUUUGUGACUUGUUUGAAGUUUGGCUGCUAUGUGUAUAUAAGUGGGUCCACUGUCUGGCGUCCUUAUUAUUUUGACUAGACCGGGUUCUGGAGCUCCAUUGGUAUAUCCUCUUCAUCUCACUUACUCCUUCAUCUUUAUACCCGUUAAUCCAUUUCUUCCCCUACCCGUUCUAUCAGUGAUAUCCACAUUUUUCAAUACCUAUUAUACCCAUUUCACUCACCCAUCCAUCACACCCGUUGCCAUAGCUAGCCCCAUCACCCAACCCACUUCCUUUAUCACCUUCCAUUACCCGUUGUACCAUUCUUUCAUCACCCACUUGUUUUUUAUCUUCUCAUGUACAUGGAGCUUUAUACUCAUGGUCAUUUCCACCUUUCCAUCCCUUACAUACUUCAUGCCCAUUCAUCAUAUUCCUUUCUAGCAGCCCCACCUUUCUUUCUCUAUACCACAUACCCUUCAUGCACACUGUUUUCUCACUAACCUACCCAUCCCACUGAUUAUAUCCCAUAUCCCCCACACCCCCAUGCAUGACCACCUACCGGUGAAAGCAUCCAAGGCCGACAAGUAGAUCCCCCAUAAUUAGAAGCAGGGCCAGUCUCUGGAUGAAUACGUUCAGAUUCCGAUAGUUCCGAUAGUUGCCACAGUGAAGAAAUAUGGUCAAACAGAACAUGAAGACAGCACCGCAUCCUCACAAGUGCACUAACCCUGUUGAUUGGUAUCCUUGGGGUGAAGAAGCUUUCUCUUAAGCAUGCAAAAGAGACGCGCCAAUAUUCUUAUCAAAUGGAUACAACACCUGCCAUCGGUGUCGUGUGAAAGAGGUGGAGUCUUUUGAGUAUGAAGGGGUUGCAAAAUUGCUCAAUGAUUGGUUUGUUAGCAUCAAGGUGGAUCAACUUUUUGAGAAGCCGUCACUGAACUUCCCAGAAUUUGGUAUCGGAAAAGCAGAGGGUCUUCCUUUCACAACUCCAUUGGCGAGGGAGUUCGCAAGAGAUCCCAAUCUCCACCUUGUGCACUUCCCUGCUCUUACUCCUCCUGUAAUACUUCCUGACUUGGAUCCAUGCAAACCCUCCAUACCUACAUAUCCUACCCUACAUGCAGGGUCGUCCUCCAUAAUACCCGUGUAUAACCCAUUUCCAUACCAUAUAUGCCCAACAAUUCUUUCUAAACCUUUUAAACCCAUUCCAUGCUCACCACCUCAUCCUUCCUAACCUUCCAUGCAAAUCACCAUUUCUUUAAUACCCUUUAACCUACUUCAUCCUUCCUCCCUCACCCAUCCUAUCAUCCAUCAAAUUCAUCGUUUCACACUCACUGAACCCCUUGUAUCCAUUUCUCUCGCCACUUUCUAUCUCCACCCCACCAUUCGCUCAUCACUCACUUAUUUUCCAUCCUCCCACAUGCAUGAAAUUUACGCGCAUGACCCUCUAGCAUCCUUCCAAAGCUUUCCUUUGAAACUCAUUUUCUACUGAACUGAAGUCCUAAACCAAUUCCAGAUAAAGAAGUCCUCAUCUGAAGUGUCUGAGGUUCCAAUUUCUAUGGUGAAAAAGAGUAAGUCUGAUGCUAUAUGCCUCGACGAGGUUGAUCACACCAUGUACGUCUCCAUCUGUAGUGUUGUUAACCCGCUUACACAACUCUACACGCAGGCCAUGAAUCAACAACGCUUGUUUUCCCAAGCCUGUGAGCGUCAUGCGCUGGAGGGGAAGGAGACUGGUCUCUACCAAACCCACUAUUAACUCCCUUUCAGAAGGAAAAACCCACGUUGGAUCUCCCAAAAAUACAACAAACCCUUGAUGGAUUUUGUGGGUUUGAGCUCAUUUGUUAGAUCUAUGAGUCUUUUUCUUGUCGUGUGAACUUGACAGAAAUGGGGUCCAGUUCCAGCGAACCCCAUUCAGUUUCUUCAACUUCAUCUUCAACCGUACAUAGAGUUCACAGGGUUUUCCACCCAUCACACCUCAGGCCUCCAUCUGGAUCUCAUCGCAGUGACAGUGACAAUGACAGUGAUGACCACCCGGUUUCUGAUCAUCAGAACAAAGAAAAUGGCUGCAAUGGUCCGUGCACAGAUCAGGGUGAAACAGAGUCUGAUCAAUUGAAAAGUGGGUGUUUCAGAAAGGUUAAAGUUGAACAACCUGAUGAAAUGCCCUCCAUAUCUUCUAAUGUUGGUCUCCAGGAAUGGGACCAAGCGAAUUUCACUCGUAUUCCCUCCAGAGCAGGUGGCAGCUCCACCCGAGCUUCAUCGACUCAAUCCUUGAACCCUUCUAGUUGAUUCCUCUCUCGCUUUAAUUUAAUUCCUGGUAACAUAAGUUUCAGGCUAAGCAGAGCAAGCAGUUUAGGUUCAUUUCGAGCUUAACCUGUUUCUUCCACAAGUAUUACUUCGAACAGUGAAGAAAAGUUGCAUCCACGCAUUGGACCUUCCAAUAGCUUGGUUAAUAGAAAUGGGUCUCAACCCAACACCUAUAUCUGCCCCAUCUACAUGGGUCUGCCCGACACAUUGGCGGUUUUGGAUUCAAGGGUCAUUGAGUUCGCAGUGGAAAUGGUACCAAAUAUCUCAGUUUGACAUUCCAAUCGCUAGCGGUGAAUAGUUCCAGUUGAGUUUAGUGGUGGGCACAGGAGGUUUAACAUUACUAGGGUCCAUAUGGAAGAGGAUGCUGGGAAGCUGCUUCAUUUUGGAAAUGAGAGUUACUCACAGGUUGAUCUGAAUAAAGUUGGAGUGCCUUUGCAUGAAAUUGUUUCUAAACCUAAAUGUGAAGAAGCUCAGAAUAUGGUCAUAUUGCCUAGUUACGCGCCUCUUCCAUUUCUGUCUGUGGAGUUGCUAGAGAAGGUAAGGUUGGUAGUUGAUGCCAUCUUAAUGACUGAAGGUACUUGAGAGAAAAGAGCCACUUACAUUGUGGACAACUAAUAAGAAGGAAAUUGGUGCUUAUGGCAUGAGCUUGCAGCAGAUUGACAAUGAUGUCAUUAUUCCUCGAUCAGGGUGGAAAUACGCCAAGUGUGAUAAAACAGAGAAUCUUUGGUUAAAUUUGACUAAUGGAAUGAUCCCUUAUAGGAGGUUGAGUGGAAACGAGCUGCCUUCUGUUUAAAAAGACGAUUAUCAGAAUUAUAGAAAGAAGAAAAUGACAGCUGCAAUCACCAACUUUGCAGUGAAGUAUCAGUUGCACCUCAGGUCCUCGUGCAUGACUUCACUUUUGGCCCACGUGCCAUUUCCCAUCUCACUAUUUGUAAUUUUGAAAAUAUUUUUUCCAAAUCCCAUUCUUCAAAUAAUUUUCCAAAUUUUAGUUUUUUUUUUAAAUAAUUCUAACUCUUCCAUUUUUCAUCCUUAGCAUUUUUUUAGGUUCCAAAAUCUCAUUUUCAAUAAAAUUGGUUGUCAUUUUCUCUUCGGCAAGCCUUUUUCAUUUUUCCUUCUGUUUUUUAAAGUGUUUUAAAAUAAAUAAGGAUUAAAUUUCGUAAUUCCAAAUAAUAGAGUUAUUGGAAUUGAUUCUUGCAAAAUAAAAUGGGCUUGGUGGGGGCCCAACAUCAAAGAAUUUUAUUUGAAAUAAAAAUGAACUCGAGUGAAGUGCUAUGUGCGCCAUUGAUGAUUUCGUAUUUGGUUUAGUGGCAUGUGAGUCAUGUUUUAUGUUCAUUUAUUAUACACUAAUCUCAUUUCUUGAUAGCACAUUGUGGCUCGUUGUCAAGGUAUGCCCCCACUCUUACUCUAGCCAUUCUUUAUUGAGUGUUUUGAUUCUUACAUGUGCAUGAUCAUGUCGGUAUUCAUUGAUUUUCUUACCAAUUGUCAUGAUUGUUUUAUUUUAUCAAUAGAAACCUGUUUUUAGGGACUUAGAGGGGUGAUACGGUCUUUACCGUACCUUCCCGAUAAGUAACCUAACCCUCGAACCCGAUCUAGUUUUUCAUAGACCACCUUUUCCAAAAUAAGGAGUCACACUUAGGGUUUUCUUUCUUAUUUUGUUUACCCUUUAAAAAUAAAACAAAAAUAAGUGGCGACUUCAAGUCAUUUUCUUAAUAAAUAAAAUCAUUUUUCAAAUAAAAAGCAAGCUCGUCAUCGAAUGGAAACGCAUGAGCAAAAAUGCGCGGUCCACACAAUCACACAUGAUAAGUGAUUUAAUAAUAAUUAAUGCUUUUAAGUUAAAACAUGUGAGCAAUUUUGUUAGCAACUGAAAAUUUUAUUCUUAUACAACAAUUGUUUAUAGAUGACUAUACAGAGAUUCAUUCCUUUGGAGUACAUUUUAUUAUUCCCAACUAUGAUAGAACUCAACAGAGAAAUGAAUUUCUCAUUACCCAAAAUAAAUGAUUACAGCAAGGUAUAUAAAUACCCUUCUUAGUUAGCUAACUGACUCUGUUUUAUUCUAACAAAAACAACCAACUAAUUUUGUUUUAUUCUAACUAAGUUAUACACGUGGACAACAACCAUUAACCACUAUUCCUAACAUCUCCCUUCAAACUCAAAGUUGUAAGGUCUUCCACUUUAAGUUUGUUCCUCAUUUGAUUAAACUGUCCAUUGGAGAUUGCUUUAGUUAGAACAUCUGUCACUUGUUCAUUUGCUGGUACAUGUCUUAUAUCCAUGUAUUUCUUCAAAACUUUUUCCCUUACAAAAUAAAGAUCCAAUUCUAUGUGCUUUGUUCGAGCAUGAAGAAUGGGAUUGGCAGAUAACAACAUUGUGCUGAGAUUAUCACACCAUAGAACCGGUAUUCUAGGUGUCUUGCACUGCAAUUCAAAUAGUAAGGAUUGAAUCCAGGUUAUUUCAGCAACUAGUUCAACCAAACUUCUAUAUUCUACCUCUAUGCUGGAACGGAAAAUUGUUUGUUGUUUUCUGGAAUGCCAAGACACAAUAUUAUUGCCAAAUAAGACACAGUGACCUAAAACCGAUCGUCUAUCAUCAGGGUUUGAACCCAAAUCAGCAUUAGAAAACCCAAUUAAACUCAACUCAACAACUUUAUUUAAAUGAAUGCCAUAAUCCAUGGUUGCUCUUAAGUACCUUAGAAUACGUUUUACAGUCUUCCAUUGCUCAUCUGUAGGCCUUUGCAUAAAUUGACAAACUUUAUUGACACUAUAUGCCAAUUCAGGUCUAGUUACGGUAACAUAUUGUAAAGUUCCUACUGUACUUCUGUAUAGCUGAGCAUUUUCAAUUGGAAUUCCAUCUUGGGAACUAAUCUUUAAGCCACUAGUCAUGGGAGUGGGAAGACCCUUGGCCUGCAACAUUUUAGUUUUCACCAAAAGAUCCCUUAUAUACUUCUGUUGAGAGAGAUGAAACCCAUUCACUAUAUGAGUAAUCUGAAUGCCCAGAAAAUAGGUUAUUUCUCCUAGAUCUUUCAAAGAGAACUCAGCAUCCAACUGUUUAAUAAGAGUAGUUACUACCUCUGCAUUGCUUCCAAUUACCAAAAUAUCAUCUACAUAGACAAGAAUGUAGGUGGUCUGAGUUGAUGUAAUCCUGAAAAAGAGAGAUUGAUUUGCCUUGGAAGAGACAAAUCCAAAUUGCAGAAGUAUUUUGUGAAGUCUCUCAAACCAUGUUCGUGGUGCCUGUUUGAGUCGAUGGAGAGCUUUAUACAAUCUACAAACAUAUUCAGGGUGUUUCUCAUCCACAAAGCCUUGAGGUUGUGACAUAAACACUUCUUUUUGUAAAAUACCAUUCAAAAAGACAUUAUUUAUAUCCAAUUGCCUAACAUUCCAACCUCUAGAUAAGGGAAUGGUGAGUACAAUCUUGAUAGUUGUUGGUUUCACAACUGGGCUAAAAGUCUCAUUAAAAUCAAAUCUAGCUUGUUGAUGGAAACCCUUGGCUACUAACCUAGUUUUAUAUUUUUCGACACUAUCAUUAGGAUUUUCUUUGACCGUAUAGACCCAUCUACAACCAAUAGGUAUUCUUCCUUCAGGCAAGGGUACUAAAGACCAAGUGUUGUUUCUUUGCAAAGCUUCAAACUCAAAUAUCAUGGCUUGUUUCCACUCAUCCUUUUGUAAAGCCAACUCAACUGUCUCUGGUUCCUUUACUGUUGCAAUAUACACUUUAGGUUUAGCAAUGCCAUUUUUGCUUCUUGUUGUCAUGACAUGAGUGUUCCCUUGAACUCUUGGUUGACCUAUCAUUCUAUUCAAAUUAGUAUUACUAGAAGAAACAAUAUCCUACACAACAACAUCAGUUACUGGAGAAAUAGAAUGUACAUUAGGAACAUAGGUAAAUUAACCUCAUUGAUUGGCUUGUCAAUGGGGACUAUGAGAAUAGGAUGAGAAUGAGUUUGAGAGGGGACUGUGAGAAUAGGUGGACUAGCAGAUGGGGUAGAAUCAGACAAUGAAAAUGAAUUAUGGAUAGAAUAGGAAGAUUGAUCAGUUUGAGCAAAUGGAAAUGUUGUUUCAUCAAAUAUAACAUCUCUAAAAAUAUACAGCUUUCCAUUUGAAUCCAAGCACUUAUAUCCCUUGUGGUUUAAGCUGUAUCCCAUAAAAGUGCAAACAUUGCUCCUAAAUUGCAAUUUAUGUUUGUUAAAAAAGACGAGUGUUAGGAUAGCAUGCACAACCAAACACUUUUAGAAAAGAAUAGUUGGGUUUGGUUUUGAAGAGAAGUUCUAAUGGACAUUUUUGUUUCAGCAUAGGAGUUGGAAGUCUGUUAUGAGAAACACAGCAGUUUUGAAAGCUUCAUCUCAAUAUUUGAGAGGAAUUGAAGAUUUAGCUAACAAGGCUAAACCAUUUUCAACGAUGUGGCGAUGUUUUCUUUCGGCCACUCCAUUUUGUUCUUGAGUAUGAGGGCAAGACAUUGUAUUAAUGAUACCAUGUUGAGUAAGGAAUGAUUGAAAAGAUCUAAAUUCACCACCCCAAUCAAAUUGAAAAGCUUUUAUUUUGGAGUCAAGUUGAAGUUCAAUUUGAGUUUUGAAAUUGAUAAAGGUUUGGAUGACAUCAGAUUUAUUUUUAAGAAGAUAAAACCAGGUGAAUUUAGAAUAGGCAUCCACAAAAUGAACAUAGUAUCUAUAACCACUACUUGAAGGGAUAGGAGCUGGACCCCAUAAAUCAGAAUGAAUCAAUUGUAAAGGAGCGGUAUAAACUAUUUCAGAUCUGGAAAAUGGAAAUUUAUGAAUUUUGCGUAAACAACAUGAUGAACAAAAUGAAAGUGUCAUUUUAUUGAUAUUAGGGACAUUACACUGUGAAAGAAUUGUUUUUACAACUUGAAUAGAAUGAUAACCUAAUCUGGCAUGCCAAAGAUCAAAUACAUUUGGCUUUAUUGAAUCACAAGGAUUUGAAACAGUACAGGUUUGAACAUUGCAGCUUUUUACAACAGGGGAUGAUUGACAAAUGUUGAAGGCAACUUCUAGAUGAGCAAGACACAAAUUUGAUGAAUCAAACGAGUAUAGACCAUCUUUAACUUUCUCGGUAAGAAGAACAGCUUGAGAAUCCUGAUCCUUAACAAAGCAAACAUCAUAAUGGAAUUCAAAGAAGACAUUAUUGUUUUUUGCAAAUCUAGAAACACUAAGAAGAUUCUUUGCAAUAGAAGGAACCAAAAACAUAUGAUUUAAGGAGAACACUUUAGGAGUAAGAGAGAAAAGUGAAGAAGAAUGACCAAUUCGUGAAAUUGACAAACCUGAACCAUCACCAAUGUGUACUUUGUCUUAACCAGUAAAUUCAGUGUUGUGCUAAAGAUUAUUAGCAUUUGGUGUGACAUGAUUUGAAGCACCAAAAUCAGGGUACCAAGAGUUAUCCUUGAACACCUCAGGUUUUGUAAACAAAGUUGAAGAAUGAGGAGAGGCUUGGCUGAAAUAAGCACGAGGACCACCACUAUUUUGAGAAGAGGAGGUUGGACUAACAAAACUUGGAUCAAACCUGUAGUAACACCUCUCAACUUCAUGUCCAAACCUUCGACAAAGCUGGCACUUAGGUUUGCUAGUAUUAUUCCAGUUGUUAUUCCAGCUAGAUUUGCCACCAUUUCCUCUGCCUCCAUUAAAAUUUCUUCAUCUACCAAAGUUUCCAGCAUUGAAACGACCUCCAUUACCUUGACCAAUACCUCGACCUCUUCCUGGACCAAAGUUGGUAGAGAAAUUGCUUCUACCACAACCUCUAAAACCAUUAUUAGUAGAAGACGAGGCAAAAUUGGCACUUGGUGCAGAAUCAAGAGAUUUAGCAUUCUUUUCAAUUCUAGCUUCUUGUGCCAUAAUCAAAGACUCAACUUCUUCUACCGUAUAGGAUUCAGAUCUAGUAAGGAUGGAGGUGAUGAAAGCAUCAUACUCAUCAGUGAGGUUAACUAGAAUAGCAUCAAUAUGGUCCUUAUCUGUAAGUAUUUGACCAACCGAGGCUAAAGAAUCAACACAGCUCUUGAUUUUGGACAGAUAUUCAACAACAUUCAAAGAUCCCUUUUUCGUAGUCUUAAGCUGAUCCUUAAACUGUCUGAUUUUAGCCCUGGUUUGAGAUGCAAAAUAUUGCUAUAAUUUCACCCAAACUUGAAAAGAGGUUUCAGAUCCAACUAACCCUGGAAGAACUUUCUCAAAGAUCGACGAGAGCAUCCAUGAAAGAAGCAAUUGGUUUUGUUGUUCCCACUCAACAAAGGCUUUGUUAACAUUUUUGGCUUGUGCAUCUUCUUUCAGUAGAAAACGUGGAGGAAUUGCAGACUCAAAGAAGACAAAUCUUUGUAAUCCAUAACCUUUGAUUGCAAAGACCACUUGUUGUUUCCAGAUGAGAAAAUUGUUGUUAUCAAGUUUCACAAAAAAAGAAUGUGUGAAACUCACAGGUAAAAAUCUUGACUGUUCUUGAGCUUCCAUUGAUGAAUCUUGAGCAAUGGUUUGAAUCAGAGCCUCCAUUGAAAGCAUUUAUGGAUCAAGACUCCAGAUUUUAGGGUAAAUGAUGCCUUUUUAGUCUCUGAAAUUUUCAGCAAACAUAAUCAAGACGGCCCUAGCUUUGAACAGGUUCUAGUUUCGAAUCUAAAACGCCGAUUUGCCAGAAAUUGUUGGUAAGGGAAGUUGUGGUAUGAAAACUCCAGGAAGCUUGAUGUCGAUGGAGAAAACUUGGCUCUGAUACCAUAUGAGAGAACUCAACAGAGAAAGGAAUUUCUCAUUACCCAAAAUGAAUGAUUACAACAAUGUAUAUAAAUACCCUUCUUAGUCAGCUAACUGACUCUGUUUUAUUCUAACAAAAACAACCAACUAAUUCUGUUUUAUUCUAACUAAGCUAUACACGUGGACAACAACCAUUAACCACUAUUCCUAACACCAACUUUCAUCCUUUUUCAUUUCACAAUCAAAAUACAAUAUCACUAAAAAAAUUUCAUAAGCAAAACACACCCAGAAGUAAAUCUUUCAUUCUUCCAAUCAAGUAUCAAGGUUUCUCCUUCUCCUAAACACCUUUAGUUUUAUCUAGAAAAUGUGGUUAUAAGAGAAUGAACCACUUAGCCUUGUUAAGCAAAAAUGUGCUUCUUGGUAGGUAUACACAGUUGAUACAUGGUAAUUCAAUUCAUUAAAAACAUCAUUCACAAUACAAUCAUCUUAAGUUACAUUAUUCAUUCCAACUUAUCAUAUACUUGUUUCAUUCCCCAGUUGUGCUUUUAAGAUAGCUCGUAUGUAUAUUUUAGGGAGUUCAGCCCGAGAUAUACGUCUAUGUCUUGUCUCCUAUUAAUCAUGACAAUAAAGAUCUUUGAGUCUUUCAUCUUAAGAUAUUGUACCAUGUGUCGGGCACAUUAAUGUUUAAAUUAUAAUAUCAUUUCGUGUUGUUCAAUGUCUUAUGUAUCAGAAUCCUUGGAUGAUCCUAAAUUCUUAUCGCCAAUGGUUGAAACCAUUCUCAUCCUAAUAUAUUUUUUACUUCAACCAAAAUCCCAUUGCCAUGUUAAUCCAAUCUCAUUUGAAGAAGGCUGUCAAGCUUGAGUUACCAAUUUGUCCUCCUAUCUUUUAAUUUCUUUAAAUUUGUGUUUGAUUAAAAAAAAGGGAAAAUAUUUUUUAAAUAUAAAAAUUUUAAAUAUUUUAUAUUUAUGAUGUUCAUAUUCCUUUUUUAUUUUGAGUUGUAUUAUAUCAUUUAAAUGAUUUUAUUUCUUUUUUUUGUUUUCAAUUUUUCAAAAAACUAUUUUUACUUAUUAAAGAAAAUUUUAUAAAUAUCAGAGUGCUGUUCUCAAUUUUUUCUAUUUUCUUUACUCAGUUUUCUAAAAAAGGAGGAUGAAAAGACAGUGUCCAAACAGGGUUUUAGAUUUAUUUCUAUUUUUCUUUUUUUGAAAAUUACGUGAGGACCAUGUUCUACCUAUUUUGUCCCGUGAAGCCAGAAUGGCGAAUUAAGGAUAUAAUGGUAAUUUAAGAAUAACAGAAUUGGAGAUCCCAAUCUUAACCGAACUGGCGGUAAAGUUGGCAAGGCAGAUGCGAGCUAAACGACACCGUUCAAAACACCCCCCACCCCACCCGCCAAAGUUCCCGGCCGUUUGGAAGAAACUAACGACACAUGUUUCCGAGCCUACAACCAGGGUUCCUUACCGAACCUACGGUUUCUGCUAUCUCUAUCUCAGUGGCGAACAACCAACCACUCUCCACUCUCUGCUUUUGUUUUUCCUUCCCUUUUCAUCUUUCUUUCUCUCGCUUUGCUCGCUUCCGUUCCCAAACACCAGCCUGUCUCUUUUUUUUUUUUUCUGCUUCUCGGUUUCAGAUUUCAGAAUCGUCUCAAACACUUUUUUCUUUU